ACAUAGGACAGAGAGAGAGGGGAUUGGCCACAGUGGCGCAUGAUAGCGACGGGUCCUCUUUAUUUGUGUAUUUUUAUGCAAAGGGUAAUUUAUUUAAAAUUUAAAAAUUUAUUUUAGGUAAUUUAUACAUUUUAUUGUUUUUGUACACAAAGUCCAUACAUUCCAUUUUUUUGACAUUUUUACUCUUAAUAACAUAUUUCAUUGCACAAAAUAUCAUUCUAAUCUAAUUUUUGAUUUACAUGAAGGAUAUUCUCAUCUUAGUCCUUGUUUGAUUCCCAUUUUAGGAAAAAUAAUGUAUUUUGAAUAGUAGAUUGAUGGAGCAUGUGUGAAUAAAAUUAAAAAAAUAUUUUGAAUUUGCGUAUUAUAUUAUUUUAUUGAAGAAUAUGUGGUUGAAAAUAAGUUUUGAAAAAAUGAAUUUUUAGAAGAAUGAGAAUCAAAUAAGGAUUUAAAUUUUUUCGCCUCGUUUAGCCUCUAAUAAUUUUGAUUAUAAGGGGGGAAUUUUUUUUUUUAAAUGAAUAGUUAUAAAAGAAUGAAAAAAAUUUUAUUUACGUAUAAUAUUAUUUUUAUUGAAAAUAGUAUAGUUGAAAACAGGAAAGAGAAAAUUUUAAUUUGAUGAGAUUUAAUGAGGCUUCAUCUUUGUUCCCCAUUUGUACCCAUUUUUUCCUCUAUUAAACCUUUGAUAAAUAUUGAUUUGACUUGUGGUUUCAAGUCAGCUUAGUCGAUAAACGACAAUGGAUGGAAGAAGAUUCAAAUAUUAAACCCCUGUUUGAGCCUCUAUUAUUUUACAUUCUUUUCCAUUAUUUUUCUAAAGUGCUCAUUUUCAACUAUACAUUAUUCAUAAAAAUAAUAUUACACGCAAAUAAAAAAAAAUUUCUUAUUUUUUAACCACAUAUUCUCUAUCAAUCACUAUUUCAAAAUAUAUUACUUCAAAUUAAUGGGGCUCAAACGGGGCCUAAAUUUUUUAUCUGUAUUUUGGUAAAUUUUUAGUUCAAAAUUUGGUUUAAUGUAGGGGUGGAAGCACAAGGAACAGCUUGGAACUAUAGGGGCUCCCAUGGAUGCUGCAGGUUCACUAUCAUUAGCCAUGAAAGAAGAUGGAAGUGUGAAUAUCCAAGUAAGUAUAAUUUUGUUUAUUCUUUUUUCCAAUGUGAGUAUAGAAUGAGAUUUUGGCAUUAGUUAUGAUUAGUUUGUUAAUUCUUAAUAAUUUGAUUUUGUUGAUUUUUGAUUUUAGGUAAUUACCACAAAACGUCACCAAGUUUCAUCCUUGACAACAUUUGAAUUCUGGUACUCGUUUCCCGUUUGGGACACCAAGAAUUUCAUCAGUUAAUUAUAAUAAAGUUAGCUCCUUACUUUGUAGCUUAUGUUAUAGCAAUAAAAUUCCAUUUCGUUUCAUCACCACAGAAUUGUUGUGCUGCAACUUCCACCAGCAUUUUCUGUUUAUUUUAAACCGUACAUUUGUUGACUUGAAC
RNAcentral lists this long non-coding RNA (1466 nucleotides) under Olea europaea (common olive). RNAcentral describes it as "long non-coding RNA (OEUR_LNC010655)". Lineage: Eukaryota; Viridiplantae; Streptophyta; Magnoliopsida; Lamiales; Oleaceae. The record is from RNAcentral.